Molecule: ribosomal RNA, 375 nt
Filed under: uncultured bacterium
Lineage: Bacteria
Description: bacterial SSU rRNA
Rfam family: Bacterial small subunit ribosomal RNA
Source: RNAcentral
UACGUAGGGAGCGAGCGUUGUCCGGAAUUACUGGGUGUAAAGGGAGCGUAGGCGGGAUCGCAAGUCAGAUGUGAAAACUAUGGGCUUAACCCAUAAACUGCAUUUGAAACUGUGGUUCUUGAGUGAAGUAGAGGUAAGCGGAAUUCCUAGUGUAGCGGUGAAAUGCGUAGAUAUUAGGAGGAACAUCAGUGGCGAAGGCGGCUUACUGGGCUUUAACUGACGCUGAGGCUCGAAAGCGUGGGGAGCAAACAGGAUUAGAUACCCUGGUAGUCCACGCCGUAAACGAUGAUUACUAGGUGUGGGGGGACUGACCCCUUCCGUGCCGCAGCAAACGCAAUAAGUAAUCCACCUGGGGAGUACGACCGCAAGGUUGAA